RNAcentral lists this ribosomal RNA (252 nucleotides) under uncultured bacterium. RNAcentral describes it as "partial 16S ribosomal RNA". It matches the Rfam family "Bacterial small subunit ribosomal RNA", at positions 524 to 776 of the family's 1533-position model. RNAcentral also lists the same sequence under 1 other name. The record is from RNAcentral.
UACGUAGGGGGCAAGCGUUAUCCGGAAUUAUUGGGCGUAAAGAGUGCGUAGGUGGUCUUGUAAGCGUGGGGUGAAAGGCAGUGGCUUAACCAUUGUAAGCCUUGCGAACUGUAAGACUUGAGUGCAGGAGAGGAAAGCGGAAUUCCUAGUGUAGCGGUGAAAUGCGUAGAUAUUAGGAGGAACACCAGUGGCGAAGGCGGCUUUCUGGACUGUAACUGACACUGAGGCACGAAAGCGUGGGGAGCAAACAGG